Long non-coding RNA from Cervus elaphus (red deer), 877 nucleotides. RefSeq lists it as uncharacterized. The transcript is spliced from 2 exons. The record is from RefSeq and is a predicted model, not a curated record. NCBI's taxonomy places the organism in Eukaryota, Metazoa, Chordata, Mammalia, Artiodactyla, Cervidae.
CCGGCCCUCACUCCACCAGACUGGUUCCGCUGGGGACGGUCCAGCGGGACGGCCCGGAGAAGGGAGGCUCAGAGGUCUGGCUGGCGGCCAUUUCUAGGAGCCAGGCUCCCUUCGGCUUUCUGUCCUUCAAAGGAUUCGUUCCUCCGGCAGCGAGCAGUCCCGUAGCCGCAUAUCCUGCCUGCGUCAAGGUCACUUCCCACUAAAUAAGAGAAUAAGGCAGUGUGAUUAACUGUACCCGAGGACCAAGAGGCAAGGCUCUGGCAACAGCUUUGGCGCAGACAGUGACGCUGACUGGAGGACACCAGGGAGCGGCGGUGACACAGACCCAAGAUGGCGGCCUCCCCGGCAACCCCACCCCCUCCACCUUCCUCACUGAUCGACUUCACCAUCUGAUUUGCUUCCAGCGUGGAAGCAAAUUUAUUUAUUUUUAUUAUUUAUUUUUAAGUUAAUUGGUUCAUGUCACAUUUCUUUUUAAAAUCCCUGCAAAAGUUUGCUAUUGAUUUUUUUUUAUUAAAUCCAGUCAAGCCUGUUAGCUUGGCCCGCAGAGCUGGCUGCUUAGAGCCUGGGCCUUCUCUUCAGACUCCAGCUGUUCCCCAGCGGCCCUUGCUCCCCCAUAUCCAGAGCCCCCUGGACUCUGCGGGCUCCUGCAUACCAGCCCCUGUCUGUCUCAGGGCACCCCCCGCCCCUGACCCUCAGCCUUCCCUCUGCCUGGAACACUUUCCUCCUCUUGCCACGAAUAACCUCUCUGAACCUUAUGCUCUCCACCUCAGUGUCAGUGGCAGGGAACUCUGCACGCUCCUCCUCAUGUGGCUCAAUGCCCCAGAACUAUUGUCUUCCUGAUGUAAUUUUUUAAAAAUUCUUUCAUAAGUGUUAGUCA